This 800-nucleotide ribosomal RNA is filed under the name uncultured bacterium. Its description in RNAcentral is "bacterial SSU rRNA". It matches the Rfam family "Bacterial small subunit ribosomal RNA", at positions 8 to 818 of the family's 1533-position model. The record is from RNAcentral.
AGAGUUUGAUCAUGGCUCAGGACGAACGCUGGCGGCGUGCUUAACACAUGCAAGUCAAGGGGGCCCAGCAAUGGGCAACCGGCGAACGGGUGCGUAACACGUGAGCAACCUACCGAACUGUGGGGGAUAGCCGGCCUAACGGCCGAGUAAUACCGCAUACGCUCUCAGGGAGGCAUUUCUUUGAGAGGAAACCUACGGGACAGAUCGAGGGGCUCGCGGCCUAUCAGCUAGUUGGCGAGGUAACGGCUCACCAAGGCGACGACGGGUAGCUGGUCUGAGAGGAUGGCCAGCCACAUUGGGACUGAGAUACGGCCCAGACUCCUACGGGAGGCAGCAGUGGGGAAUCUUGCGCAAUGGCCUAACGGCUGACGCAGCGACGCCGCGUGUGGGAUGAAGCUCCUCGGAGUGUAAACCACUGUUGCCCGGGACGAACAGCUCGAUUUCUCGAGCCUGACGGUACCGGGUGAGGAAGCACCGGCUAACUCCGUGCCAGCAGCCGCGGUAAUACGGGGGGUGCGAGCGUUGUCCGGAAUCACUGGGCGUAAAGGGCGCGUAGGUGGUUUGAUAAGGGUGUGGUGAAAGUCCGGGGCUCAACCCCGGAUCUGCCGUGCCGACUGUCAAACUCGAGGACUGUAGAGGCAGACGGAAUUCCGGGUGUAGCGGUGGAAUGCGUAGAGAUCCGGAGGAAGACCGGUGGCGAAGGCGGUCUGCUGGGCAGUUUCUGACACUGAGGCGCGACAGCGUGGGGAGCAAACAGGAUUAGAUACCCUGGUAGUCCACGCCGUAAACGAUGGGUACUA